GACGUAGGGCGCGAGCGUUGUCCGGAUUUAUUGGGCGUAAAGAGCUCGUAGGCGGUCUGUCGCGUCCGUUGUGAAAACUCGAGGCUCAACCUCGGGCUUGCAGUGGAUACGGGCAGACUAGAGUGCGGUAGGGGAGACUGGAAUUCCUGGUGUAGCGGUGGAAUGCGCAGAUAUCAGGAGGAACACCGAUGGCGAAGGCAGGUCUCUGGGCCGCAACUGACGCUGAGGAGCGAAAGCUGGGGAGCGAACAGG
This 252-nucleotide ribosomal RNA is filed under the name uncultured bacterium. Its description in RNAcentral is "partial 16S ribosomal RNA". It matches the Rfam family "Bacterial small subunit ribosomal RNA", at positions 524 to 776 of the family's 1533-position model. The record is from RNAcentral.